GUCUAGAUGCAAGAACGGUCCCCGUGAUGUUGUCAGGUGAAUACCUGCAACGUGCGGGGGUUUUCU
Molecule: antisense RNA, 66 nt
Filed under: Escherichia albertii
Lineage: Bacteria; Pseudomonadati; Pseudomonadota; Gammaproteobacteria; Enterobacterales; Enterobacteriaceae
Description: rdlD antitoxin
Rfam family: rdlD antitoxin
Source: RNAcentral